CAGCUUCGUAUAGUGACGGAUCCUUUUUCCAGUUCUUGGAGGUUGAGUAUACAAAAGACGUUCUACUUUGUCGUCUUGUAUGCGUUGGUUUUUCACACUUUGCUUUCGUUGGGUGUGAUGUGCUUCGAUCCUCUUCGUCAACAUUUUUCAGCUCAAAACUCAUUCUCCGUCUGACCAUCAAGAGCUAGUUUCCUCGGUUGAUUUCGACAAGAAGAAAUGAAGCAAUCAUUUUUAAUCAUUUUUAUCCUAAUUGGACUUGUCCCGUUUCUGUCCGAAGCUGGACCCUUGGCGUACGGAAUAUGCCAAUCUGGAUGCAAUGCGGUUGUAGUUGCAUGCUACGCCGGAGCCGGUUUUACAUUCGGCACUCUUACGGCUGGCACCGGAAUUCCUGCCGCUAUCGUGGCCUGCAAUUCUGCCCUGGGAGUGUGCAUGGCCGCAUGCAUUGCAGCCGGAUUAGCUCCGACUCCUUAAUGAGUUAGCAUUCGAGAGCUAUCAGCUUGUUUUAUGCUUUUGGUAUAAUUCAGAUAAUCGUAACGUAUAUAAUCCCAUUUCGUGUAUUCUCAUUUCUUGUAAAAUGGACAAAUAAUUGGACCUGAUACGAAUUGUUGUUCAUGUUCCGUAUUUGCCGAUUAAGUCCUUCAAACUUCAAACAUACCCCGUGUUGAAAUAAAACUGGAUAGCUACUUUCUAACUGCUGCGAAACAUUUCUUCUAAUAAUUGACAUUCAGGUAAAGAUUGAUCAAAUAUUUUUCCGUUAUGAUUUCGCCUUGGAAUUUAUGAAUUUAAAAAUGGGUGUAAGACCGGUAAGAGUAAGACGCAAGAGCGAUAUGGAAAUUUACGUUAUAUUUCGUGACGUAAUAUGGGGAAGAAAGAUACUAUUUACGAAGUCUUAUUUGGGUGAAUGUAAUUUAAUUCAUCUGUGUCUGUUUCCAUAUUUUGUUUCGAAUUUCUAACUCUGUAAUUCUGCUGCCACUGCUGUACGGAGACCUCAAUUUGUAUUCCUAGAAUUUUUCACAAAACAAAUUUCGCCGACUGUUGAGCGUCAGAUUAACGUUCAGUUUUCAUGUGUGGAAUCUCCUCAUCUGUCAAUCGGAAUAAUUUUUCAGAGGGUCUUUCAAUUUUUUUUUUCAUUCUGAAUUUGUUGGAAAUUUUAUUGAUAGAACUUAUUCCAUCAAUAUACUCAGCAAAAAGAGGGGAAUUAAAAUUGAUAUUUUGCGAUUUAAGCUAUCUUAUUUACAAAGUAUAUAGACCUUGAAAUCGUCAUUCCAAGAAAAUUCCUUGUAAAUAACUCUUUGGGCUAAUGUGGUUAUAGUGGCUUUCCGGCUUUUCCAUACAGGUAUGCAAUUUUUUUACCAGAGGGAAAAGAAGGCCAAGUGACGUCAUCAGCCGGGAUGCAGAUUUCCGUUGAGAACGAACGUGAUUCUUUCUUUUGCCUGGAGAAACGACCUCACCGGAGGCAGAAAUGGGAGGUCCUAGUGACAAAAGAGUUUGGUCGUCUUGUCGGGUUUUUCCUUUUUCCCGACUUUGUUUUUCCCCCGUUUCCUCUACGCUUUCGCAAACUUCUGAUGCCCACGCAUCUUUCAGUCAGUCGUUGGGUGUGAGCAAGUCAACACAUAUUAUUGAAAUCUAAUUGUACCCUCGUCCAAAGUGAUUUAUUUUUGAAGAUAACAGCUGAUUCUUGACGAGCGGAAAUGAAGCUAUUUUCAACGCUGUUUCUUCUAUUUGGCCUUCUCCCGUUCGUGACUGUUGCUGGCCCUCUGGCUUACGGAAUUUGCCAGUCUGGAUGCAACGCAGUUGUUGUGGCUUGCUACGCAGCAGCCGGAUUCACUUUCGGGACGGUUACUGCUGGUGCAGGAAUACCCGCAGCCUUAAUUGCUUGUAACGCAGGUCUUGGUGUUUGCAUGGCAGCUUGUAUUGCUGCCGGAUUCGCACCGACUCCUUGAUUAAUAAUUGAUUACCUUUCACGAUGUAUUGAUUUUUUUGGGUCGAUUUUACCACUCCAGUUUGUGGGUACGAAAUGAAAUAAUUUUAAAACUGUAAGUCUGUAAUAAAUAGUCUUCGUUCGUA
Molecule: long non-coding RNA, 2067 nt
Organism: Daphnia pulex (common water flea)
Lineage: Eukaryota; Metazoa; Arthropoda; Branchiopoda; Diplostraca; Daphniidae
Exons: 5
Source: RefSeq, a predicted model, not a curated record